Long non-coding RNA from Heterocephalus glaber (naked mole-rat), 691 nucleotides. Lineage: Eukaryota; Metazoa; Chordata; Mammalia; Rodentia; Bathyergidae. The record is from Ensembl.
GCAUGGGGGAAGAGACCAAUACAGCCUCUGCGAGAGCAACGCCUUUUGGAAAGGACGCAGCAGGGAGGCCCAGUUUAAAUGCUGCCUCUUCUAAGAAACCUGCCCCAGACCUCAUGCCAGUCUCUGCACUUCCCCUCUGACCUCCCCGAGCCAUCUCCUCCCUACCUGUGCACCUGUCUGCUCCCACCUGUGGACGAGGACAGGAAUGAAGCCCAGAAAGGGAGGCAAACUCCCCAAAGGCACACAGCUGGGAAGAGGAGGGGCUGGAGGCUGCCAAAAAAACCAAGGCUACAUGCUUCUCAAGCAGCAUCCAGGAAAGAAAAAAUUCUGCUCCCGAAACCAUCCAAUAAGACUCCUGGGCUUUUUGAUGAUUGACUCACCCUGAACCAGUCUCUGUGGCUGGAGAAGGACAUGAGCCAGUGGACUCAGGGCUGAGAUACAUCAGUGAAUCACUGUGACCACAGGCUUGGCUUAGACCAAUCAGAACCACCUUUGAAAUCAGAAAAUAAGGCUUUGUAUUCUACACAGCUGCUGCACAAAGGGAAAAGAAUAGGAUGAAUGAGGAGGCCACACUGUAGACUUCGGAGUUUACCUUGUGGAAAUGGGCUGUCCCUUACAGACAAAGAGGCGCUUGCCCAGUGGAAAUAACUCUGGGGGCACUUUUGGAGGAUGCUGGAGCAAGGAGGCCGGU